UAGGACGAACGCUGGCGGCGUGCCUAACACAUGCAAGUCGAGCGGGGACAUGCGACGGAUAGGAAGUUUCGGAUGGACUUGAAGAUGCAUUGUCUAGCGGCGGACGGGUGAGUAACGCGUGAGCAACCUGUCCCUACAGGGGGAUAACACAGCGAAAGUUGUACUAAUACCGCAUAAGACCACGGAAGGACAUCCGUUCAGGGGUCAAAGGAGGAAUCCGGUAAGGGGUGGGCUCGCGUCCGAUUAGAUAGUUGGUGAGGUAACGGCCCACCAAGUCGACGAUCGGUAGCCGACCUGAGAGGGUGAUCGGCCACAUUGGGACUGAGACACGGCCCAAACUCCUACGGGAGGCAGCAGUGGGGAAUAUUGGGCAAUUGGGGGGAAACCCUGACCCAGCAACGCCGCGUGAGGGAAGAAGGUUUUCGGAUCGUAAACCUCUGUCCUUGGUGAAGAGUGAGAGACGGUAGCCAAGGAGGAAGCCCCGGCUAACUACGUGCCAGCCGCGGC
RNAcentral lists this ribosomal RNA (507 nucleotides) under uncultured bacterium. RNAcentral's name for it is "bacterial SSU rRNA". It matches the Rfam family "Bacterial small subunit ribosomal RNA", at positions 26 to 518 of the family's 1533-position model. The record is from RNAcentral.